Molecule: ribosomal RNA, 331 nt
Filed under: uncultured bacterium
Lineage: Bacteria
Description: bacterial SSU rRNA
Rfam family: Bacterial small subunit ribosomal RNA
Source: RNAcentral
CGCGUAGGCGGUUUUUUAAGUCAGAUGUGUAAUCCCCGAGCUUAACUUGGGAACUGCAUCUGAGACUGGAAGGCUAGAGUACUGGAGAGGGUGGUGGAAUUCCUCGUGUAGCGGUGAAAUGCGUAGAGAUGAGGAGGAACACCAGUGGCGAAGGCGGCCACCUGGACAGUAACUGACGCUGAGGCGCGAAAGUGUGGGUAGCAAACAGGAUUAGAUACCCUGGUAGUCCACGCUGUAAACGAUGAACACUUGGUGUGGAGGGAGUUGACCCCUUCCGUGCCGGAGCUAACGCGUUAAGUGUUCCGCCUGGGGAGUACGGUCGCAAGGCUGA